Molecule: long non-coding RNA, 1611 nt
Organism: Falco peregrinus (peregrine falcon)
Lineage: Eukaryota; Metazoa; Chordata; Aves; Falconiformes; Falconidae
Exons: 2
Source: RefSeq, a predicted model, not a curated record
CGCCUUCCCAAAAUGGCGGCGGGGCCGGGAGGCGGCCGCGGGUAUAUUGCCUUCUCCAGGCCUUCGCGUUUCUUGUGCAACCCGCCGCCGUCGCUAAGGGGAGCGGAGAGAGGAACUGGUGGAGGAAAAGAGUGAAGACUGUAAGUACAGAGAUAAGAGAAUUCAAGAACAAAACAGUGUUAUGAACACUGAUAGUCUGGAAGUCAUCAAAUGAGUGGGGCCUGAUUGCCAGCUUGGAAAGAAUGGGCUUUAAAAUGUAUGCUUACAUGCGGUAUGUAACAUACAGAAAUACGUAUCUGCCUAGAACUGAUAGAGAAGAUAGGGAAAAAAUCUAAAAGAAGCACGUUACUGAUUUGUGACCAAAUUCUGAAGAGAUAAUUUUAAAAAAUAUGUAUCUUGUCACAUGUGCUUUUUAACCUUUUUCCUGAGAAGAUAAAACCUAUGUAAUUGUGCUACCUGAACAAGCAUUUGGUUUUCUGUCUGCCUGGCAUAAUUUUUCCAGGUAGUGUUAGAAGUCAUGACCAAUUUCAACCAAAUUUAACAGAAGGUUACAGGUUAUUACAUUGCUGCAAAUUACAUGGAAACAGGUAGCAACGCAGAGCAGGCUUUUCAGUGGGAGGAAAAUGCCAGUGUGCAUGCAGUUUAUAUUUGGAAAGUUGAGUCAGAAGUCUCCUGCUCAUGGAAAUAUUUGCUACUAUCGUAUUUGGAUAGUUACUGAAAAUUGUAAAUGUGUUUAUUCUGCACACCUCAGCACUGGGAAAACUACCACAUAUCUACAGAAAAUGUAAUUAUUUCCCUAUUCUAUUAUGAGCCAGACUCAAAGCCCUUUCAAGAUACUGAUGUUCUAGAUCCAGUAUAAACUAAAUGGAUUUCACAACAAAAGCAUUCAGCUUGUUUGCUGAAUGUCAUUAUUCACAUUGUCUCUUAGCUGCUUAUAGUGAUGGUAGCUAACAGCUUCACAAUUAAGAGAAUACAGAAAAUAGGCUUUUUAAGAGUAAAGCAAAUAACCAAAGAGAGAGUUUUUAAGAAUCCUAAGUAGAUAUUUAUGCCCUGCAUCCCUGGAAAUUAGCCCCAGUAUGGAUAAAGAGAGGGAUAAGUUAACAAAGGGUGUUAAUCCCUGUGACAUUAAGAAAAAACACAACAAAACAAAACCCCAGCAUAUUUAACACUACCACAAAAAUGCAGGCGGUAUUUCCACUUAUUACAAGUGGAAGUCAAACUUGUAUGAACGUUGCUUUUAGAUUAUUGCAUAUAUUUGUACAAGUAGUUUAUUUAUCAUUAGUAGAAAUUAGUUAUGUAGUAAAAUCUUCUACAAUUACAUUUCCUUGACUUACUGAGUGAGCAAUGCCCAUUCUGAUGAAAUGUAGUUUUCUGCAAUGUAUUUAGUUCCACCUCCAACAAGUUUUAUUUUGUAGCUUUUGUCUUAAAACUCUGCAAAAUGCAUUUUAAUAAUAUCAUAUGAAUACUUUGCUAAGCCUUUACAGACAAAAAGUACUAUUAUAAAUAAAUUAUUUGCCUCAACACAGUUGAGCCAAUCCUUUUAUUAGGAUUUAGUGAAGAACCUGACCAAAACACUUCUUGAUGUCUAGAAUAAAGUUACCUCAAACAGUC